RNAcentral lists this ribosomal RNA (699 nucleotides) under uncultured Brevundimonas sp. RNAcentral describes it as "bacterial SSU rRNA". It matches the Rfam family "Bacterial small subunit ribosomal RNA", at positions 94 to 828 of the family's 1533-position model. The record is from RNAcentral. Lineage: Bacteria; Pseudomonadati; Pseudomonadota; Alphaproteobacteria; Caulobacterales; Caulobacteraceae.
AGUGGCGGACGGGUGAGUAACACGUGGGAACGUGCCUUUAGGUUCGGAAUAAGCCCGGGAAACUGGGUCUAAUACCGGAUGUGCCCUUCGGGGGAAAGAUUUAUCGCCUUUAGAGCGGCCCGCGUCUGAUUAGCUAGUUGGUGGUGUAAUGGACCACCAAGGCGACGAUCAGUAGCUGGUCUGAGAGGAUGAUCAGCCACAUUGGGACUGAGACACGGCCCAAACUCCUACGGGAGGCAGCAGUGGGGAAUCUUGCGCAAUGGGCGAAAGCCUGACGCAGCCAUGCCGCGUGAAUGAUGAAGGUCUUAGGAUUGUAAAAUUCUUUCACCGGGGACGAUAAUGACGGUACCCGGAGAAGAAGCCCCGGCUAACUUCGUGCCAGCAGCCGCGGUAAUACGAAGGGGGCUAGCGUUGCUCGGAAUUACUGGGCGUAAAGGGAGCGUAGGCGGACAUUUAAGUCAGGGGUGAAAUCCCGGGGCUCAACCUCGGAACUGCCUUUGAUACUGGGUGUCUUGAGUGUGAUAGAGGUAUGUGGAACUCCGAGUGUAGAGGUGAAAUUCGUAGAUAUUCGGAAGAACACCAGUGGCGAAGGCGACAUACUGGAUCAUUACUGACGCUGAGGCUCGAAAGCGUGGGGAGCAAACAGGAUUAGAUACCCUGGUAGUCCACGCCGUAAACGAUGAUUGCUAGUUGUCGGGG